AUAUGAGCAUUUGUAUCAGUCAAUUUUUAUAUUGGAGAAUUAUUUGUUAGAGUUAUUUCAGGUAAUUACAAAUUAUUAUGAUUUUGGAAUUGAGGAUUUUAUUUGGGUUAGAUUUUGAUUUUUGUUAAGUUGUGAAUAAUUUGAGGUAUGUGAAUCGGUGGGAUAAUAUGAUAAAGUGAAAACUAUUAAAUACAGAGGAUCUCUUGUAAUUUUGAG
RNAcentral lists this long non-coding RNA (216 nucleotides) under Panax ginseng (ginseng). Its description in RNAcentral is "long non-coding RNA (PGIN_LNC010432)". The record is from RNAcentral. Lineage: Eukaryota; Viridiplantae; Streptophyta; Magnoliopsida; Apiales; Araliaceae.